This is a long non-coding RNA of Mus musculus (house mouse), 952 nucleotides long. RefSeq annotates it as predicted gene, 40816. Lineage: Eukaryota; Metazoa; Chordata; Mammalia; Rodentia; Muridae. The transcript is spliced from 3 exons. The record is from RefSeq and is a predicted model, not a curated record.
AGGAAUACUGUAUGAGCAUAGGAAGAAAUGCCUUUCAGACCUGGAAAAACAGCUUAGUCAGGAACCCCACUACAGACAAGGCUGUACCAGAACCCAGAGAUAUCCCUCACUCAGGAGAACCAGACAUAGUCACCCACUGGACAGUGCAUAAGCAGAAACUAAAAGCAAUGCUCUGCACAUCUGGAAAGAAAACACCUAGAUAAACCCUGUGGAUGGAGAAUCUCCCUCAAGAUCCUGACCCUCAAUUCAGAGACUUCUGUUAGAGACUGGACCUGACCUCCAGCUAAGAUAUGUCCCACAGGAAAAUAUGCAUAAGAAAUUCAACAACGAUGUAUUCCUACAAAGUUAUGUAAUGCCAAAGAUAAGAAAAAUGGCUCAUAUCACAGCAAACCUGGAUGCUGAAAGUAGAUCCAGACUGGAGCUUGUCUACAACCUUCAAAUGCCCAGCCCCAGUGAUCACUUCCAUCAACCAAACCCUGCCUCCUACAGGCUCUACAUCUUCCAAAACAGGACAACCAGCCAGGAGGUAGUGGGCAGGAAAUACAUAUAUGGUUACUUCUCUUCCUGUCAUUUUGCCAGGAAGCAGGAGUUUUUGAGCCCAGCAUGCAGACAGCUGGAUUGCAUAAAGCUGAGCACACUACAGAAUGAUGUGGCUUUAGAUCUCUACUUCCUGAAAUCUGUUGCCGGGACUUCCCUUCAACCUUUGUAACCUCACAUACAGGCCGUUCUGACAGGAGACGUGGACUCAGGGUUAAGGGGAUGAGCAGAGAAGCAAUGCCAGGGAGGGCUGCCCAAGAACAGGUUCCUAACAUGGGCAAGCCCUUCCUGUUGGCUGGGAGAGACUGGGUCUACAGGUGUGCACAUGCUUAACAGUCUCGUGGCUCUGGGUUCAAUCUCCAGAACUGUAAACGCCACGAAAGAUCACAAAAAAAAAAAAAAAAAAACCAAAAAA